This 252-nucleotide ribosomal RNA is filed under the name uncultured bacterium. Its description in RNAcentral is "partial 16S ribosomal RNA". It matches the Rfam family "Bacterial small subunit ribosomal RNA", at positions 524 to 776 of the family's 1533-position model. The record is from RNAcentral.
GACGAACCGUGCGAACGUUGUUCGGAAUCACUGGGCUUAAAGGGCGCGUAGGCGGGCGGUCAAGUCAGAGGUGAAAUCCCACGGCUCAACCGUGGAAGUGCCCCUGAUACUGACUGUCUCGAGGGAGGUAGGGGCGUGCGGAACUUCCGGUGGAGCGGUGAAAUGCGUAGAUAUCGGAAGGAACACCGAUGGCGAAAGCAGCGCGCUGGACCUCUACUGACGCUGAGGCGCGAAAGCCAGGGAGCAAACGGG